Saccostrea echinata is the source of this 558-nucleotide long non-coding RNA. RefSeq lists it as uncharacterized. The transcript has 4 exons. Lineage: Eukaryota; Metazoa; Mollusca; Bivalvia; Ostreida; Ostreidae. The record is from RefSeq and is a predicted model, not a curated record.
CAUAAUGUGUGCAAAUGUCAAACUUUUCUUCCAGACUAAUCUUUCUUGUUAACUUCCGUCUUGAACAGAUAUUUCUGAUCAAGAUGAGAGCAAAGUGGAGGAAGAAGCGCAUGAGGAGGUUAAAGCGCAAAAGGAGAAAGAUGAGGGCAAGAUCAAAGUAGACAGCCCCCCUUCACAUUUCAAGUUAAAUCAGGAACAGGGAAGGACUUGGUGUGAAAGACAUUUGACUUUAGAUAACCCUAUUAAUUGAUGAAGAGAAGAAGAGGAAAAAAAGAAGAGGAAGAAGAUAAAUGUGAAGCGUGGCCAUUAGCCUGUUCAGGCUUCACAUGUCAUGUGGUAUUUCACACUGGGGACAGUAAAUCAUUUACUCAUCGUCAUUAUCAGUAAUCAUCAUCCAUCAUUAAGGUCGUGUAACUGGACACCCAGGGAGAUUGUGAAAUUGACCGCUGAGUGUUCUCUACUUUGGCCUCUUAAUACUGUUUGCUGAAGCUUUCAGCUAGGAGCAGCCUUUUCUGUUCUUGAUUUGUAUUUGAGUAAUUAAAAAAAAGUAAAAUUGCA